GACGAACGCUGGCGGCGUGCUUAACACAUGCAAGUCGAGCGGUAAGGCCCUUUCGGGGGUACACGAGCGGCGAACGGGUGAGUAACACGUGGGUGACCUGCCCUCAGCUCUGGGAUAAGCCUGGGAAACCGGGUCUAAUACUGGAUAUGACUCCAUGACGCAUGUUGUGGGGUGGAAAGCCUUGUGCGGCUGAGGAUGGGCCCGCGGCCUAUCAGCUUGUUGGUGGGGUGANGGCCUACCAAGGCGACGACGGGUAGCCGGCCUGAGAGGGCGACCGGCCACACUGGGACUGAGACACGGCCCAGACUCCUACGGGAGGCAGCAGUGGGGAAUCUUAGACAAUGGGCGCAAGCCUGAUCCAGCCAUGCCGCGUGGGUGAAGAAGGCCUGG
RNAcentral lists this ribosomal RNA (390 nucleotides) under uncultured bacterium. RNAcentral's name for it is "bacterial SSU rRNA". It matches the Rfam family "Bacterial small subunit ribosomal RNA", at positions 28 to 419 of the family's 1533-position model. The record is from RNAcentral.